RNA transcript from Vigna angularis (adzuki bean), 3843 nucleotides. It is a transcript of the gene named UDP-glycosyltransferase 74G1, with no coding region annotated. The transcript is spliced from 3 exons. The record is from RefSeq and is a predicted model, not a curated record. NCBI's taxonomy places the organism in Eukaryota, Viridiplantae, Streptophyta, Magnoliopsida, Fabales, Fabaceae.
GUUCUACAAGGAUUUCGUUUUUAUUCUGUUCUACACGUAUUAUUCUCUGCAUCUACUUUUUUAAAUAUCCACUUUUUAUUUUAUCUGGGGGAGGGAGUUGAAUUCACAAUUUUUUUUUAAAUUUUUCUUUCAAACUAAUUAAACUAAUCUUAUAACUCUCCAAUAUCAGAAAGUUGAAGAUUGAAUCUAGAAUUUUCUCUUAUUGUGCAUUUGAAUAUUGUUCAUUAAAUUGACCGAAACUGACCGUUUGCACUGAAUUGUAAUAACAUUGAUUGCAGCAUUUUUUAAAUCAGCUAUUGUCUCUUUCUCACUGAAUUUAAGUAUUUGAAGCAGACAACAAUUGACACAACAGUGUGGUGAAGGAAAACACAAACCUCGAAGCAAGAAAUGGAGGAGAGGAUAAACUAUGUGGCUCACUGUCUUGUUCUACCUUAUCCUGCACAAGGACACAUAAAUCCUAUGCUUGAGUUUUCAAAACGUUUGAUUCAGAGAGGAGUGAAGGUCACACUGGUAACUUUUGUGUCCAACUGGAAGGUCGUUAGCAGAAAAAAUUUCACUUCUAUAGAAGUUGAGAGCAUAUCAGAUGGCUACGAUGAAGGAGGCCGUGCAGCAGCAGAGAGCCUUGAGGUUUAUCUUGAAAGCUUCUGCAGGGUUGGAGCACAAACUCUCGCUGAGCUUCUUCAGAAGCUUGCAGGAUCAAGCCACCCUCCAGAUUGUGUAAUCUAUGAUGGUUUCAUGCCUUGGGCUCUUGAUGUUGCAAAGAAAUUUGGGCUACUUGCUGCUGCUUUCUUCACUCAGAGUUGCACAACAAACACCAUAUACUUGCAUACUUAUAACAAGUUGCUGGAACUGCCUCUUACACAGACAGAGUAUUUGUUGCCAGGGUUGCCAAAACUUGAAGCUGAGGACUUGCCAUCAUUCUUGAACAGAUAUGGAACCUAUCCAGGUUAUUUUUAUGUUGUUGUGAACCAACUUUCCAAUAUUGACAAAGCAGAUUGGGUUCUUGCAAACACAUUUUAUGAUAUGGAGCGAGAGGUUGUGGAUUGGCUGUGCAAGAUUUGGCCAUUAAAGACAAUAGGACCAACCUUGCCAUCUAUGUACUUGGACAAAAGACUCCAAGAUGACGAGAAUUAUGGUAUUGAAAUGUAUGUUCCAAAGUCAGAAGCUUGCAUGAAAUGGCUUGAUGAUAAACCAAAAGGGUCAGUUGUGUAUGUUUCUUUUGGGAGCUUCGCAGGGCCGAAUGUGGAGCAAGCUGAGGAACUAGCUUGUGGUUUAAGAGAUAGUGGAAGUUAUUUCAUAUGGGUGAUUAGAGACUCUGAGCAAGGACAGCUUCCAAAGGGGUUUCUUGACACAGCAGAGAAAGGUUUAAUAGUCAAUUGGUGUCCCCAACUGCAAGUCUUGACACAUGAGGCUUUGGGGUGUUUUAUCACACACUGUGGUUGGAACUCCACAUUGGAAGCUUUGAGCUUAGGAGUUCCAGUGAUUGCAAUGCCACUGUGGACUGAUCAGAUCACAAAUGCAAAACUUAUUAAAGAUGUGUGGAAAAUUGGAGUCAAAGCUGUUGCUGAUGAGAAAGAUAUAGUUAGAAAAGAAACUAUCACACAUUGCAUAAAAGAAAUAUUGGAGACUGAAAAAGGAAAUGAAAUAAAGAAAAAUUCCAUCAAGUGGAAGAAUCUGGCCAAGAGUAGUGUUGAUGAGGGAGGAAGUUCCGAUAAAAAUACUGCAGAAUUUGUGAAUGAAUUGGUUCAUCGCCGUGCUGCAUUAAAUUAAUGGGAAAGGAAGUGCUCAUAGAAGUUUUGUGCCACAGCCAAAGUAUGCUAUGCUGAUUCUGCUUAGAAUAAUCAACUUGACAAGGAAGCACAGGCAUGGGGAUGGAUGAUGGUGAUGGUUUAAAAUUCUCACUGUACUCAAGAAUAGCUGUUGUUGGGGAAUUGUCAUACAUAUCGACGCCAUCAUAGAAAGGACUAGCAGCAAUGUAAUAGAGACCCUUUGGCUGGUUUGCUGAGACCAACACAUCCAUUGUUUGCCCUGGGGUUAUCAUGAUGAAACUGGUGUUUAAGGGCUUUGUGUAGGAACCAUCAAUGCCUACAAGUAUAAGGCUGUGAUUAGCAACCCCAAAGAACAUCUCUUCGUUCAUUGCUGAAUUUAUUAUUCGGAAAAGAUAUGUCUUUCCAUGAUCAACUAAAAAGCGACGAGUGUUCUCUGCAAAACAAAGCAAUGUUGAUGAACAAAGUGGUGAAACAUGAUACCAAAGACAAGAAUUACUUGCAGUUUUACAAUCUAUAAUACAGGUGCAUCUCUAAGAUAUGUAGCACAGACACUCAUACAAACACUGGACACUAACACGGAUACAAACACUUCGACACUUAUGGUUUCCAGAAUGUAAGACAUGGGGACACGAAUCUAUAUGGGUAUUCAAAAAAUUUUUGUAUCUAUUCUUAUUAACAUUGUGUUAGUAACAUGUCAAAAUUUUGUCAGAGCACAAAAGUCUCAUCCCACUACCUAGUUGAAGUUACAUGAAUCAUGCAGUGGCAUUAGACUUGGUUAAAAAUCAAAAUUUUGUCAGAGCACAAAAGUCUCAUCCCUUUUAACAAUACAAUCUUAUUCUUCUCACUAAUGUUUCCAACAAACCUUUUUUCCAUGUGGGUUUGUGCAUUCUCUAUAUUUCAAGUCCAAAAUGGGAUUUUGUGUAAGGGAAAGUAUUAGGGAUAUUGAAAUAUCAUUCAUGUAUCUACAGUUAAUAGCUUAAGCUUUUAGGAUAGAUUUUCAAGACAUUAAUAUACUUUUUGAGCAAUUGUAGAAGUCACCAGGUUGGCCAUUGAUUGUGUAAGCAUCUGAUGCAUUGGGCUCUGCACCAGUUGCCCUGGCCUCAUUUACAAUUUGCAUCACAUCUCCCUUGUACCACUCACCUGAAAGAUCACCAACAAGCAUAAUCAAGAGGUUGUGUGUGUGUGCUUGAAUAUAUACAGGAUUUGAAUGGAAUUUCCAUUGGACAGUUACCAACCAAUGAUAAGAAUGUUUUGUCCACAAGGUUCAGGGAAAGGAUAUGUUCCAUUUGCUGGUAAAAUGACAAUGGCACCAUGGACAGUGGCACGUGUCCAACUACUGUGUGCAUGCCACCAAAGAGUUCCUUCUUCCAAUGUAAAGGCCACCUUCUGAGUGAAACUUGUUCCUGGUGGGAUAGGGCACUGUGUUAUGUUCUCAGGUCCAUCUGACCAAGGAUCCCUUGGUUCCCUCACACCAUGCCUGUAAAAAAGGUUCCAACUUUUUCACCUUUUCCUACUUUUGGAGGCAUGUAGUUAUUAAUCAAAUUCAAUUCACACACCUCAAGUUAAGCCAUAGUAUCUGUUUUGUUACUGAUUAGUAUAUAAAAAAUCAAAAGCAUUUAUUCUCUAUAUGAGGAAAGAAAAGAGAGGAACAACUUUUUUCUUGGUUUAUGCUAAAGACUAAUUCCUUCGCUGUAGAAAUCAUUUGGGUGUCCUUAUAAAUUAUUUUCUAUGCAUAUGAUCAGGAAUUGAAUCCCUGAAAACAUGGUCAAGGAGCUUAACUACAUAUCACUUGUGCUGAACAUAAUUUGGCUGUGUCAAUGAAAAUUUAUGCUAUAACUAAUGCAUGUGGUUGGGUUGUGCACAAACAUGAACAGAAGGAAGAAGCAAAAUGAUAAAAAGAGAGGCAAAAUGGGAGAUUUAACCAGUGAAUAGUGACCCCAUAUCUUCCUUGAUUAUGGACAGUGACAAAAGCUGUAUCUCCUUUGUGAACACGAAUGGUUGGUCCUGGAAAACUAUCAUUUACUGUCAGUAUGCUUUUUGUGCUGCACAAUCUCGUGAAAUUCUUUUCCUUCAG